CCCUUAGAUGUCCUGGGCCGCACGCGCGUUACACUGAUGCAUUCAACGAGCUUAUAACCUUGGCCGAGAGGCCUGGGCAAUCUUGUUAACGUGCAUCGUGAUAGGGAUAGAUUAUUGAAAUUAUUAAUCUUGAACGAGGAAUUCCUAGUAAACGCAGAUCAUCAAUCUGCAUUGAUUACGUCCCUGCCCCUUGUACACACCGCCCGUCGCACCUACCGAUUGGAUGGUCCGGUGAAGCCUCGGGAUUGUGGUUCUUGCCGCUUUAUUGUAGCGUGACCGCGAGAACUUGUCUAAACCUUAUCAUCUAGAGGAAGGUGAAGUCGUAACA
Molecule: ribosomal RNA, 328 nt
Filed under: uncultured eukaryote
Lineage: Eukaryota
Description: partial 18S ribosomal RNA
Rfam family: Eukaryotic small subunit ribosomal RNA
Source: RNAcentral